Molecule: long non-coding RNA, 217 nt
Filed under: Mytilus galloprovincialis (Mediterranean mussel)
Lineage: Eukaryota; Metazoa; Mollusca; Bivalvia; Mytilida; Mytilidae
Source: RNAcentral
UAAAUGUGUUAUGUCGCUUUGCCUUUACGUCCUGUCAUUUCUUCUCUAUGUUAUGUGCAGGUGCCUUUAUUUCCUGAUACUGCAUCUCUGUUAUGUAAAAUUUGUUAUUUGUUUGGUCAAACAAUUGUAUUAUAUGUCAUUGCUGAACUUUGUUGUGUGCAAUAUGCAUUACAUUAUGCUGUAACUACUAUAUAUUCUGCGAAUACCUCCAAACUUU